AAAUGGUUUGUCUUGGUCCAAGCCAAAUGUCUCUUCUGCAGCUUUCAUUAUGUCUAAAUGAUGCUCUUAUCCUUAAACAGAACACACUUUCUCAGUCCCCCAGGAAGCACUUGAUUUAUUCUCCAGCCCCAGGGACAGGAGGAAGCGGAGGCUAAAGGGUAAUCACACAGCCAGGUGAGCCUCCAUUGAGCUGUAGCCUGGGAGAAAAUGGUUUUAAAUGCUGAAAGGGUUUGGUGUGAUGCCAACCUAUUCUCUAAGGAACUUGCUCAGCCUGCCCUGGAAAUUGGAUAGACAGGAAAGAAAGGAUUCAGAAUACUUCCAAAGGGGAACACCUGAGGCAGCUGUCAUCAUCCUGGCCACAGAAGAUGGUCACCAGGAACAAUGCCUGUAGUGACCUGGAAAAGAGAGACCUAGGAGAGUGUGAGUGUUCACAGCCCUGGCUCUUGGGGUUGUAGAGCCUGGGGCUUUGGCAUCCACUAAGGAUUGGUUACCCCAUUUACUGUCUAUAUUUGUUCCUAUCUGCAUAAGGAACAAGUAUAGACAAUAAGUGGGGUAACAGUACCAGGUGUUUGAAGGAAGACAGAUGUCUAGGUUAAGUUACCACUAGAAGAGUUGAUCUUGGCAUUCUGGGUUCUGAGUUUCCUCCCCUGCCAUCAAGGAUGUGAAGCUGAGUGGAAUAAGGGACACAAUCCCUGAGUUGAGGAUCUCAAAAGGCAAUUCCAGGCACAGCUGUGAAAUAAGAGUCUAAAGGACUGCUCUUAAAACUUCAUUCAUUCACUGAGACCUACUGUGCACCAAACAGGGUGUCAGGUUCCUGGGAUGCAGUGAGAAUAAGCAUGCACAUUUAUUGGGUAUGUAGGGGGACAGGCUGUGUUGCAAGUCUAAUAAUAAUUAAGUAUUCUGUCUUGGUCUGUGUUGUGUUGCCAUUAAAAAUACCUGUGGCUGGGUACUUAAAAAGAAAGGAGGUUUAUUGGGUUCACAGUUCUGGAGGUCUAAGAGAAUGGCACCAAUGUCCUGGUGAGGGUCACUUGGCUAUAUUACAACGUGGCAGAAAAGGCAAACAGUCACUUGUAGAAGGGCAUGUGUAUGAGCAAGGGAGCAAGAGACCAGGGAGGGACAGGCUCAGUCUUUUCAUAAAAACCUGUUCUCACGGGAACUAAUCCAUUUCUACCUAACCUGACUCACUCUUAUGAGACAACAUUAAUCCAUUUGUGAGGGUAGAGUCAAAUGACCUAAUAACCUCCCAUUAACCUCUUAAAGGUCCCACCUCACACUACCACACUGGGGACCAUGCUUCCAGCACAUGAACAUUUGGGGGACUCCCAUCUGAACUAUAGCCAAUGCUAAAUUCACUUCUUAUUGUAAGACAUGCUGUUGUAAUUUCUCCCCUAAAAUGAAAAUUUUUAUAAUUCAAAGAUAGCCCUUUCUAUAAUACGUCAAAGUAAAUAGUAGCAAUUCAAGAAACAUGCCCAGGCUCAGAGUAACUGGAUUCAGCUUGUGAGAUUCCUUGAAAGAGUUCUACACAAGGCCAGGGCCAACCCCAUCCCCUGAAGAGUGCCUGGCCAGCUGGAAAUACCUGCAGCUCCCUCAGCUCCAGCUUCACUUCCCAAUUUGCUCCACUUUAAUCUCUACCUUUUAUGUAAUGUCUAGUUGAGACCACAGGGUCACCUUAGCCUCUGUGGAUGAAACAGAGUAGGGUUCCUGGGGGAAUUAGAAAUUUCUUGUGACAAUGAUCUGGAAAAAGGCAGUCCCAAGCAAAGAUGGACAGCAGACACUGCAUGUUAGGCUGGAUCCUGCUCUCUGAGGUCUACUCCUUAAAGCAAGUGCACUAGAGCCAGGGGUAGAGUGGCUACCCCAUGCAUGAGGAACUUCCAUUUC
RNAcentral lists this long non-coding RNA (1878 nucleotides) under Marmota monax (woodchuck). The record is from RNAcentral. Lineage: Eukaryota; Metazoa; Chordata; Mammalia; Rodentia; Sciuridae.